This 135-nucleotide small nucleolar RNA is filed under the name Sphenodon punctatus (tuatara). RNAcentral describes it as "Small nucleolar RNA SNORA42/SNORA80 family (ENSSPUG00000014675.1)". It matches the Rfam family "Small nucleolar RNA SNORA42/SNORA80 family". From Rfam's summary of the family: The members of this family belong to the H/ACA class of snoRNAs that guide the sites of modification of uridines to pseudouridines. Lineage: Eukaryota; Metazoa; Chordata; Lepidosauria; Sphenodontia; Sphenodontidae. The record is from Rfam by way of RNAcentral.
GCAUGGCUCUGGAUUUAUGGUGGGUCUCACCCCAUGGCCCCCCAUAGUGUACCCCAUGCUACAGCAAGUUGCCUCCCCGAACCAUUGGCCAGGUGGCUCACCCCAGCCCUUGCCACUGAAGCGGGGGGCACAGCU